Prunus avium (sweet cherry) is the source of this 659-nucleotide non-coding RNA. Lineage: Eukaryota; Viridiplantae; Streptophyta; Magnoliopsida; Rosales; Rosaceae. The record is from RefSeq and is a predicted model, not a curated record.
CUGCUUUUGAUGUUUUGUAGGUGGUGUUUUGCUGCUUUAUAUAGAGCUGUUUGGUGGUUGUUUUUGGUUCUGUUAAGCAAGAGGAUCAUUUAAACAGCCCUCUUCCUGUGCUUUUACCGUGUUUUUCUUCGAACUAGAGGUGUCAAACUAGACGGGCUGGCCUAGCAUGGCACGAGCGCAAAUAUUAGUGGGCCGUGCUAGGUUUUUGAGAAAUAGUCAUAAGCCAGUGGAGUCGUCUUAUGAGCAUGCCUCCUUCUGAUUUGAUCUGAUUUGAAGAAGACGACAUGUACCGAGAAGUGACCUCUUGAGUUUGAGCCGGCGAGGAACGACAACGCAAUUUUCGGGGUCGGAGGGUAGAAGUGGAGGCCUUAUAGCAGAUCGGGGACGACCUCCUUGGGACACGGCUUUGGGGUUCAAUGCCGUAGAAAUAGCAGCUACCAUUGUAAAAACUCAAAAUUCCAUUCAAAUCUCAUCCUCCAAAGCCUUCAACCGCCCCUGCGAGUUUAGUGGCACUCACUUCUGAGAGAACGAGAAAUCGUAAAAUAAAAUAAAAUUACAAAAACAGAGAAAAGGAAGUCGCGGAGUGAGAGAAAGGAGAGGUUUCUGGGGGAGGCGCUUUUUAUGUGUGCGCUUUUAGAGAGUGAUCGGAUGAAUUUGGA